Long non-coding RNA from Dioscorea cayenensis subsp. rotundata (Guinea yam), 883 nucleotides. RefSeq lists it as uncharacterized. The transcript has 4 exons. The record is from RefSeq and is a predicted model, not a curated record. Lineage: Eukaryota; Viridiplantae; Streptophyta; Magnoliopsida; Dioscoreales; Dioscoreaceae.
UGAGCAUUAAAGCCGUAAUGGGCCUAAUCCCUUGUUUGAGUGUACAGACAUUGGGGUGAGAGAGGCAUGAGGGAGGAGAAAAGGAUCAGUUCACAAGUAGUGACAUUGCCCCUAAUUUGAGAGGAGUCUCCAUUCCUUGUUCACUACUUGAUGGCGAAAUAUCAAUUUUGGCCACAAAAAGUCAGUCUGCCCAUGUGAAGUUGUUCUCUCUCUCCUUUGUAGCCAUUCUCCUUCUUCUCCUUUGUAGCCAUCCUCCAAGCCCAUUCUAAUGCCGCCAAAUGUCCUGGAUUCUAUUCCGACCUUCUCCGCAGACUGGCCACAUCAUCUGCUCCUUCAUCGUCACGAACCAAUGUCUUCUUCUCCUCUUCUUGGCAUGUUGAACAUCUCGCAGUCACACUGGUUUCGAUCUCUAUCUAGCUGGCGAAACUCUCGAAACCGGAGAAGCUUAAGAACCUUAAUUCCCAUUUCUCAGUGGAUAGCUUGAAACCCCAAGCUCAAGCUCAGCUCAAGCUGCAUCAUUGAUUUGGAUCUCCAUUGCUAGGGAGCUUGGACGUUUUUUAAGGGGAGCAGCUUGCUUGCUUGCGAUUGGCAUCUUCAGGAGGCCGAAAUUCCAGCUUUUUUCUUCUCUUAAAAGCUUGGAGUUGGAGGGAGAUUCUCUUCACCGGCGGAUCCUCGGAGAGAUUAAAGAUUAUUGUAGCGAGUCUUAGCUCGCGGGACUUGGUGAACCCAACUCUGUAGCUCGGAGCCAGGAGAAGAUCAAGUUUAGGUCUGGGGGGUGUCAGAGAGUCGUAUUGUCUGCUUUAUCAGUAUCUUGUUAUUACCUGCUUAAGAGUGUAAGACUUGUAUUCUGACUGUAUUUGUAAUUUGCAAACUGUUGGAUUGU